This 1372-nucleotide ribosomal RNA is filed under the name uncultured bacterium. RNAcentral's name for it is "bacterial SSU rRNA". It matches the Rfam family "Bacterial small subunit ribosomal RNA", at positions 28 to 1381 of the family's 1533-position model. The record is from RNAcentral.
GAUGAACGCUGGCGGCGUGCCUAAUACAUGCAAGUCGAGCGAACGGACGAGAAGCUUGCUUCUCUGAUGUUAGCGGCGGACGGGUGAGUAACACGUGGAUAACCUACCUAUAAGACUGGGAUAACUUCGGGAAACCGGAGCUAAUACCAGAUAAUAUUUUGAACCGCAUGGUUCAAAAGUGAAAGACGGUCUUGCUGUCACUUAUAGAUGGAUCCGCGCUGCAUUAGCUAGUUGGUAAGGUAACGGCUUACCAAGGCAACGAUGCAUAGCCGACCUGAGAGGGUGAUCGGCCACACUGGAACUGAGACACGGUCCAGACUCCUACGGGAGGCAGCAGUAGGGAAUCUUCCGCAAUGGGCGAAAGCCUGACGGAGCAACGCCGCGUGAGUGAUGAAGGUCUUCGGAUCGUAAAACUCUGUUAUUAGGGAAGAACAUAUGUGUAAGUAACUGUGCACAUCUUGACGGUACCUAAUCAGAAAGCCACGGCUAACUACGUGCCAGCAGCCGCGGUAAUACGUAGGUGGCAAGCGUUAUCCGGAAUUAUUGGGCGUAAAGCGCGCGUAGGCGGUUUUUUAAGUCUGAUGUGAAAGCCCACGGCUCAACCGUGGAGGGUCAUUGGAAACUGGAAAACUUGAGUGCAGAAGAGGAAAGUGGAAUUCCAUGUGUAGCGGUGAAAUGCGCAGAGAUGUGGAGGAACACCAGUGGCGAAGGCGACUUUCUGGUCUGUAACUGACGCUGAUGUGCGAAAGCGUGGGGAUCAAACAGGAUUAGAUACCCUGGUAGUCCACGCCGUAAACGAUGAGUGCUAAGUGUUAGGGGGUUUCCGCCCCUUAGUGCUGCAGCUAACGCAUUAAGCACUCCGCCUGGGGAGUACGACCGCAAGGUUGAAACUCAAAGGAAUUGACGGGGGCCCGCACAAGCGGUGGAGCAUGUGGUUUAAUUCGAAGCAACGCGAAGAACCUUACCAAAUCUUGACAUCCUUUGACAACUCUAGAGAUAGAGCCUUCCCCUUCGGGGGACAAAGUGACAGGUGGUGCAUGGUUGUCGUCAGCUCGUGUCGUGAGAUGUUGGGUUAAGUCCCGCAACGAGCGCAACCCUUAAGCUUAGUUGCCAUCAUUAAGUUGGGCACUCUAAGUUGACUGCCGGUGACAAACCGGAGGAAGGUGGGGAUGACGUCAAAUCAUCAUGCCCCUUAUGAUUUGGGCUACACACGUGCUACAAUGGACAAUACAAAGGGCAGCGAAACCGCGAGGUCAAGCAAAUCCCAUAAAGUUGUUCUCAGUUCGGAUUGUAGUCUGCAACUCGACUACAUGAAGCUGGAAUCGCUAGUAAUCGUAGAUCAGCAUGCUACGGUGAAUACGUUCCCGGGUCU